This 207-nucleotide long non-coding RNA is filed under the name Pelobates cultripes (western spadefoot toad). Lineage: Eukaryota; Metazoa; Chordata; Amphibia; Anura; Pelobatidae. The record is from RNAcentral.
CCACUGCCUGCUGACAUCAGCAGAAGUGGUAGCCUGAUCCAAUCACAAUGCUUCCCCAUAGGAUUGGCUGAGACUGACAAAGAGGCAGAUCAGGGGCAGAGCCAGCAUGAUUCAAACACAGCCCUGGCCAAUCAGCAUCUCCUCAUAGAGAUGAAUUGAAUCAAUGAAUCUCUAUGAGGAAAGUUCAGUGUCUGCAUGCAGAGGGAG